GCCGUUGUAGCUCAGUUGGUAGAGCGCGUCCUUGGUAAGGACGAGGUCACCGGUUCAAUCCCGGUCAACGGCUCCA
This 76-nucleotide transfer RNA is filed under the name Bryobacter sp. RNAcentral describes it as "tRNA-Thr". It matches the Rfam family "tRNA". From Rfam's summary of the family: Transfer RNA (tRNA) molecules are approximately 80 nucleotides in length. Lineage: Bacteria; Pseudomonadati; Acidobacteriota; Terriglobia; Bryobacterales; Bryobacteraceae. RNAcentral also lists the same sequence under 9 other names. The record is from RNAcentral.